This 406-nucleotide ribosomal RNA is filed under the name Praxillella praetermissa. RNAcentral describes it as "partial large subunit ribosomal RNA". It matches the Rfam family "Bacterial large subunit ribosomal RNA", at positions 1911 to 2542 of the family's 2925-position model. Lineage: Eukaryota; Metazoa; Annelida; Polychaeta; Maldanidae. The record is from RNAcentral.
UGUAAAACGCCGGCCAGUGCGGUAUCCUGACCGUUCUAAGGUAGCAUAUAAGAUACCCUUUAAUUGGGGGUUGGUAUGAAUGGACUAACGAGAGCUAAGCUGUCUCUAAAAUAAAUAAUAAAUUUACCUCUAGGUGAAAAGGCCUAGAUAUACUUAAAAGACAAAAAGACCCCAUAGAGCUUUAUUAUUAAAAUAUAGAUAAAAAAUACCAUACCUUUUUAUUUAUUCAAUACAUAAUUUAACUGGGGCGGUUAAGGAGCAAAAACCCUCCUUUCAAAUUAAAGGAACCCCCCCUACAUAGACCCUUUACGGAUUAAAGAACAAAGCUACCUUGGGGAUAACAGGCUAAUAUCUUUUAAGAGUGCAUAUCGAAAAAGAUGUUUGGCACCUCGAUGUUGGCUUAGGA